This is a non-coding RNA of Phasianus colchicus (ring-necked pheasant), 2732 nucleotides long. NCBI's taxonomy places the organism in Eukaryota, Metazoa, Chordata, Aves, Galliformes, Phasianidae. The record is from RefSeq and is a predicted model, not a curated record.
UGCUGGGAAAACCCCAUGAGUGGAGAAGCAGGUAUAUACUCCCAGGACCAGAAGGGAAGCGCACGUUUCAUCUGAGCUGGCACAGAGCUGGACAAAGCUGCUUCACUGCUGCAACACUGGGGCUGCCCACUGUUUGGUCCUGCUACCUCCCAUUGCACCCAUUGCUUAAUGAGAGAACUGCAUGAUGAGCUGCUACCAGCACCUUCAAAGCACGUCCUCAUGGAUUUAAUCAAUCCCUAAGAUGACAACAAGAUAAUCAGUUUGGCCAUCCAAAAUGGAAAGGGGAAGAAAAGAAAGGUUUGACACGCAGUGGCAGACAUGUAAAAAUGACUACAUGCCUUCCCGAGACAAAGGCACCUCACCACUGCAGCUCUGGCAUCCCCCAGUGCUAUUGGAACGGUGCUGGCAGCACUAGCUCUGACCCGGACAUCCGGGGACACUUUGGAAUGGAGUCUCCUUCCUCUGCCCCGUGCCAGAGGAUGUGUCCCAUUGCAGCCAGAGCCUGCCCAGAGCGUGGCACCGCGCUGCUCAGCCAGCAAGGUGCAGCUCAGGAAGCCUGGGAAUCAGCAGCUUGCAUCAAUGCUUGCAUCUCCUGGUGGCCUGCAGACAGAGAAUGGCUCCAAGCAGGAAGGUCGUGAACAGAAAAGCAUCUUUGAAGGCAAAGAAGGCUUCACCCCUCUACAAAUCAAGGAGCUCGGAGCGAGAGUGGUUGAAGGGACAGAGAAGAGAGAAUGUGACCAGAGAAGACGUUAUGAUUUGAAACGAGCAAUCAGUUUCGUGAUGCUGUCUCACUGAUUAACGCGCACAAACGAGCUCUGCCCCAGGAUCAGAAAUGCCCUGUUCCAUUCAAUCUCAGUUCUUUGCAGGCACUGUUCUCAGAAAGGUGUAUGAUUGUUAAAUCAGAGUCCUGCAGAUGCCUGCAACAGCAGCUUUCUGUUGUUGUUGUUAAACUUUCUGCAGUAAAUGAUCCAUAGUGGCAAGGCUGACAACAAAGCAGUCGGUCUGCAGUGCUCGUUGGAGUUCUGAUUUCAGCUUUGGGAAUCCAAGAAAAAUAUCAAGGAAGACUUAUCUGUAUCUCAGAUCAGGAACAUUUUCAGUCUGUUUCUGUAUGUAUAUGUAAUGCAUGUCUACAAUCAUAAAUAUCAGGUGGAACAGCCAAUUUGUUCAUACAGAAUGUAUAAAUGGAACAGAAAGACAGGGAAGUAAAAUAGCAACUAUUUUAAAAACAGAAUAACUGUGCUAGGUCAAGUUAUUUCCAGAAUCACUACAAAUACUGCGGGUAACAUAGAAGAUUUCUAUUUCUAAGUCUUGCUCCUUUCUAAUCCUUAAAUUAACGAGCGUUGUCGAUACAAUUAUGCAGUGGGCUCUAGGCUGGCCUCCCCUCUGCUCAAAGUCAGAAACCAACCUAACCUCCAGCAUGCCGCGCUAACACAGUGCUUCGCUCAGCUCGCGUGUGGUGUGGUACUGAACAGCCAAACGGAGAGGAAAAUAUUUCCUUUGCGUUUACUGCCUACUCGUGUCAGAAGUGGUACGAAGGUGGUCGACAGCUCCGUUUUCUACCAACAGACAGCAGGCUUCACGCACUAAGGCAGAAGAGAUUAAUACCGCAUUAGUAACAUCUCGCUCACCGUUGUCACUGUAAAACGGCUUCAAACAUUCCUUACGCAGAGCAGACAAUGCAGGCAUGCUUUCUUUCCUUUCUUUAUCUCCCUCGUCCCUUCACCCACUGUUUGAUACCUCGAUUUGCCCGUGUCUGGGUGCUGGAAAUACCACUGAGAGCGCGGCUCAGCAGGGUCACGCAUUCAGGCAGGGCUGCGGGAUUAUUGUGAAACAACAGUUGUGAGAAUAAUACCAAAAAGCAGCAGCAGGAGCGAUCUUUGCUCUCGUCCGCAUAUUUGUAUAAAAAGUUUCUCUGGCAGUGGUUCAUCGGCAGGCAGUAAUCUGCUAGGUUACUUCUUUGUAAUUUUUCUGUUUCAUAAAUAAUACAGGAGUUUACUAACAGGAAGUUUGUGGGAAGCAACAGUAAACAGUCUAGCAAUCCAUCUGUUAUUGUGGAAUCGAGAAAGCUGAAUCAGGUUCUUUGCAAGUGGACUAUUUUAGUUCGUGCUAGAGAAGACGUGUGGGAAAUGGGCAUUCAAGUCGUUAAGGCGAACUCUUGCAGCCCUCCUUCCUCCCUUGCCGCGUGGAAGGGGGCAGCUGCGUGCGAUCACAGCAAGAAGCUCGGGUUCAUUAGUGGCUGCGGGGCGGCUCAGAAUCACCCCGAGCGGAGACGAGGCCGCCGGUCAAACACAAAGCACGCAGGUGGCGGUCACAGGAAUCGCGCUGCUUAGACGCGCAGCUCGGGAAGAGCGACUUGUACGUACAAAUACACAGAAACCCGCUAGCACCUCUCAGCAUCGAAGUGUUCACCAGGAGGAAGCCGAGAGGCUGAAGGGACCUGGGCAGGGGAGGGGGAGGCAAUAAGGGGAAACAAGGCACCGCCGGACGCUGUUCCGACAGGUGUUCGUGUGCGCCGUGCGCGAACAGAGGGCGCUGCCAGCACGGCGGGACGGGACGGGACGGGACGGGACGGCUGCUGUGCAGCUCGGCUGCCGCGUGCGAGCCGGAGCCCGAGCUCAGCAGCGCUGCUUCAAGCGGGCUCGCAAACCGUGCUCGUUCACAAUACAGCCGAGCGUAGCGAGACAACGAAUACGCGGAACCCCGAACCCUGCCGGAAAGAUGCCGGAGGCGAA